Molecule: ribosomal RNA, 497 nt
Filed under: uncultured bacterium
Lineage: Bacteria
Description: partial 16S ribosomal RNA
Rfam family: Bacterial small subunit ribosomal RNA
Source: RNAcentral
GAUGAACGCUGGCGGCGUGCCUAAUACAUGCAAGUCGAGCGAACGGACGAGAAGCUUGCUUCUCUGAUGUUAGCGGCGGACGGGUGAGUAACACGUGGAUAACCUACCUAUAAGACUGGGAUAACUUCGGGAAACCGUAGCUAAUACCGGAUAAUAUUUUGAACCGCAUGGUUCAAAAGUGAAAGACGGUCUUGCUGUCAGGUAUAGAUGGAUCCGAGCUGCAUUAGCUAGUUGGUAAGGUAACGGCUUACCAAGGCAACGAUGCAUAGCCGAGGUGCGAGGGUGAUAGGCCACACUAGAGGGGAGACAGGGACAAGACGCCUAAGGGAGGCAGCAGUAGGGUACCUUCGGCAAUGGUCGAAAACCUGACGGAGCAAGGCCGAGUGAGUGAUGAAGGUCUUCGGAUCGUAAAAACCUGUUACUAGGGAUGAACAUAUGUGGACGUAGAUGUGCACAUCUUGACGGUAACUAAUAAAAAAGCCACGGCUAACUACGUG